Molecule: ribosomal RNA, 171 nt
Filed under: Syzygium graveolens
Lineage: Eukaryota; Viridiplantae; Streptophyta; Magnoliopsida; Myrtales; Myrtaceae
Description: 5.8S ribosomal RNA
Rfam family: 5.8S ribosomal RNA
About the family: 5.8S ribosomal RNA (5.8S rRNA) is a component of the large subunit of the eukaryotic ribosome. It is transcribed by RNA polymerase I as part of the 45S precursor that also contains 18S and 28S rRNA. Functionally, it is thought that 5.8S rRNA may be involved in ribosome translocation.
Source: RNAcentral
AUUAUUCAUAACGACUCUCGGCAACGGAUAUCUCGGCUCUCGCAUCGAUGAAGAACGUAGCGAACUGCGAUACUUGGUGUGAAUUGCAGAAUCCCGUGAACCAUCGAGUCUUUGAACGCAAGUUGCGCCCGAAGCCAUUUAUUUGGUGGAGGGCACGUUUGCCUGGGUGUC